CUCUGAAUCGUGAGGGAUACAAGGUUCAGGGCCGAGAGAG
RNAcentral lists this non-coding RNA (40 nucleotides) under unclassified sequences. The record is from RNAcentral.